CAGUCGCCGCGGGAAUACGAAGGGGGCUAGCGUUGUUCGGAUUUACUGGGCGUAAAGGGCGCGUAGGCGGACUGAUAAGUCAGGGGUGAAAUCCCAAGGCUCAACCUUGGAACUGCCUUUGAUACUGUUUGUCUUGAGUUCGAGAGAGGUAAGUGGAACUGCGAGUGUAGAGGUGAAAUUCGUAGAUAUUCGCAAGAACACCAGUGGCGAAGGCGGCUUACUGGCUCGAUACUGACGCUGAGGCGCGAAAGCGUGGGGAGCAAACAGGAUUAGAUACCCCUGUAGUCCCUGUCUCUUAUAC
Molecule: ribosomal RNA, 301 nt
Filed under: uncultured bacterium
Lineage: Bacteria
Description: partial 16S ribosomal RNA
Rfam family: Bacterial small subunit ribosomal RNA
Source: RNAcentral